CUUGAACUCAAGCAAUCCUCCGCCUUGGCUUCCCAAAGUGCUGGAAUUACAGGCGUGAGCCACCGCGCCCGGCUGAUAAUGAAAUUUCUAAGCACUUAAGAACAUGCAUUCAAAAGGCUCUGGAGUUUUUUGAAAAAUAGGGUAACCUGCAGUAAAAGAAAAUUUUACACACUUUCACUUUUUUUUUCUUUAAAUACUAAGUCUAUUUAGUAGACUGGCAUCUCCAGGUGGCUAAAAUAAUUCGUUGAUAUCAUCAAACAUCUAAUUAGUGUUCAAAUUUCUCAAAUUGUCUUAAAAAUUCUGUUUUAACCAUUGAUUUGUUUGAAUCAAGAUCCAAAUAACGGAGCAGAAUUUUUAUCACCAAGCCCACUGGCUGGUUACACUUUACCUCUUUUCAAAACAGAUGUUUGUCACUGUAACACAUUUCUAUAAGCAAGAGAAUUGAGGGAUUAAUUCAAGGUCUCUAUAUGUGCUUUACAAAUAUCAGAUAGGCUCUGGUAAUUAAAUUACGGAAAAUUCGCAUAAGUAAUAUCUUGAUGUUAAUCUUGGACAUUAGGACUCAAAAGGCAGCAAUGACAAAGAAACCCAUUUAUGUUGAUUUCACAGCCUUUGGGGGUCUCCUUGCCUUUAUUUUGAUUGUUGGAAACAGACCCACUCUUUGGCCACUAUAUAACAAAGUACUAAAAAUGUAUAAUAACGCAAAUUCAUUAACAUGUUUAUUAAAAUACAGACACGUUUAUUACAAAUCUGUAGCUUUAUUUACAACUAACAUCCUUAUUUUUGUUCUAUAUGCCCACGUUUGUUCUCAAGUACAACGAAGGACUGAGAGAGCACAUAAUCCCCUCUAGGUGUAAAUGAACGUAUUUAUUUUGCUUCAACUCAUGUAUGAAAGGAUUAAAAAAUUAUUAUAGCCCCCACAACUUAGUUCUCCCAAAGAGAAGGUGCCAAGAAUGAGGCACCUUUAGCCAUCCAUAAUCUCCACCCAUCUCAUCAAAUAAACGGAACAGUGAUGAACAUACUUGCUAAGUAAGCUCAGUCGUGUAAUACGUCCCUAGAUUCCCCUCCCUUCUUCAUCCGACCAGAACAUUAUCCUUAAGGUUUUCCUAACUAGCAGUCUGCGUCUAACACUGACCCUAACUAUCCAGAGUCACCUAACAUAUGCUUAUUUCCUUGUUUCAGAUUCCCAUUAUCCCUAUCUUAAUGGGACAACUGGGUCCGAAACUAUGCACGUGGUUUUUUUUUUUUUUUGUUCUGUUUUUGCCGUGUACUUAUUAUCCACACCUUAUCAUCAAGUUCCUCAAAAGCUAGAACAAAACAAAUCCGUGUCAUCCACUAUGUGCAUCCUUCCUCUCUGCUUGGGGACGCCAAGGGUUUCAAGCUGCUGCCUCCUUGCCCUGGUCUCUGCUUGCCGUAUCAGCCCUGGGUAAGCGCCCAGGUUCUGCUCAGGGACUAAAACUCAUGAUCUUCUGGCUCAGUUUCUGUGAACUGAGUCAUUCUGGCACUGAGAAUAUUCCGUGACUCAGCAGGCCCGAAAAGGAGGAUGUCAGAAUCCACAUAAUUUCGAGUCUUUUAAAGGCAAGCCGAGGGACACAAACAACACAGCGGAAGAAUUUCGCAGUGGGUCGUGCGUACCCAAGGGAAAAAUGUCAUUCCAUUCCCAGCCUUUUCACUUCCUUCCUUGCCCCGGUAAAACGACUGGUUACACUUUAAUUCAGCGGCAGGAAAUCGCUUCACAAAACUCAUCUGGCUGCUGCGGGCCCUUCUGAUUCU
RNAcentral lists this long non-coding RNA (1770 nucleotides) under Macaca mulatta (Rhesus monkey). Its description in RNAcentral is "lncRNA (ENSMMUG00000060445.1)". Lineage: Eukaryota; Metazoa; Chordata; Mammalia; Primates; Cercopithecidae. The record is from RNAcentral.